AGCGAACGCUGGCGGCAGGCUUAACACAUGCAAGUCGAGCGGGCACUUCGGUGUCAGCGGCAGACGGGUGAGUAACACGUGGGAACGUACCCUUCGGUUCGGAACAACUCUGGGAAACUGGAGCUAAUACCGGAUACGCCCUUAUGGGGAAAGGUUUACUGCCGAAGGAUCGGCCCGCGUCUGAUUAGCUAGUUGGUGGGUAACGCCUACCAAGGCGACGAUCAGUAGCUGGUCUGAGAGGAUGAUCAGCCACACUGGGACUGAGACACGGCCCAG
RNAcentral lists this ribosomal RNA (276 nucleotides) under uncultured bacterium. Its description in RNAcentral is "partial 16S ribosomal RNA". It matches the Rfam family "Bacterial small subunit ribosomal RNA", at positions 29 to 334 of the family's 1533-position model. The record is from RNAcentral.